GGCGGUUGGAGGCUUAGGGACUUUUAAGGUUUUCUUUUUUGUUUUGUUUAAUUUAGGAUUUAGGCUAUUGGGCUUCGAGUGUCUGGGCUUUUAGGGUUAGGUUAGUAGAUGAAUUUGGGCCAUUGGGUUUGUAAAUGGAGGGACCAAAAGGGCAAAUAACCCAAACCUAGUACACAUCAUUCUCGAAGGGAAUUUUGCUAACUGUUGAUUUCAUGAC
This 217-nucleotide long non-coding RNA is filed under the name Gossypium raimondii (Peruvian cotton). Its description in RNAcentral is "long non-coding RNA (GRAI_LNC001872)". The record is from RNAcentral. Lineage: Eukaryota; Viridiplantae; Streptophyta; Magnoliopsida; Malvales; Malvaceae.